CCUACGGGAGGCAGCAGUGAGGAAUAGUGGUCAAUGGGCGCGAGCCUGAACCAGCCAAGUAGCGUGAAGGAUGACUGCCCUACGGGUUGUAAACUUCUUUUAUAAAGGAAUAAAGUGAGGCACGUGUGCCUUUUUGUAUGUACGUUAUGAAUAAGGAUCGGCUAACUCCGUGCCAGCAGGCGCGGUAAUACGGAGGAUCCGAGCGUUAUGCGGAUUUAUUGGGUUUAAAGGGAGCGUAGAUGGGUUGUUUAGUCAGUUGUGAAAGUUUGCGGCUCAACCGUAAAAGUGCAAUUGUUACUGGCAGUCUUGCGUACAGUUGAGGUCGGCGGACUUCGUGGUGUAGCGG
This 346-nucleotide ribosomal RNA is filed under the name uncultured bacterium. RNAcentral's name for it is "partial 16S ribosomal RNA". It matches the Rfam family "Bacterial small subunit ribosomal RNA", at positions 338 to 681 of the family's 1533-position model. The record is from RNAcentral.